This 460-nucleotide ribosomal RNA is filed under the name uncultured bacterium. RNAcentral describes it as "partial 16S ribosomal RNA". It matches the Rfam family "Bacterial small subunit ribosomal RNA", at positions 338 to 795 of the family's 1533-position model. The record is from RNAcentral.
CCUACGGGUGGCUGCAGUGAGGAAUAUUGGUCAAUGGACGAGAGUCUGAACCAGCCAAGUAGCGUGAAGGAUGACUGCCCUAUGGGUUGUAAACUUCUUUUAUAUGGGAAUAAAACGUUCCACGUGUGGGAUUUUGUAUGUACCAGAUGAAUAAGGAUCGGCUAACUCCGUGCCAGCAGCCGCGGUAAUACGGAGGAUACGAGCGUUAUCCGGCUUUAUUGGGUUUAAAGGGAGCGUAGGUGGAUUGUUAAGUCAGUGGUGAAAGUUUGCGGCUCAACCGUAAAAUUGCAGUUGAAACUGGCAGUCUUGAGUACAGUAGAGGUGGGCGGAAUUCGUGGUGUAGCGGUGAAAUGCUUAGAUAUCACGAAGAACUCCGAUUGCGAAGGCAGUUCACUGGACUGCAACUGACACUGAGGCUCGAAAGUGUGGGUAUCAAACAGGAUUAGAUACCCGGGUAGUC